GCAAGUCGAGCGGUAACAUUUCUAGCUUGCUAGAAGAUGACGAGCGGCGGACGGGUGAGUAAUGCUUGGGAAUAUGCCGAGUGGUGGGGGACAACAGUUGGAAACGACUGCUAAUACCGCAUAAUGUCUACGGACCAAAGGGGGGGCUUCUUCGGAACCUCCCGCCAUUUGAUUAGCCCAAGUGAGAUUAGCUAGUAGGUGAGGUAAUGGCUCACCUAGGCGACGAUCUCUAGCUGGUUUGAGAGGAUGAUC
Molecule: ribosomal RNA, 252 nt
Filed under: uncultured bacterium
Lineage: Bacteria
Description: partial 16S ribosomal RNA
Rfam family: Bacterial small subunit ribosomal RNA
Source: RNAcentral